RNAcentral lists this ribosomal RNA (255 nucleotides) under uncultured prokaryote. RNAcentral's name for it is "partial 16S ribosomal RNA". It matches the Rfam family "Bacterial small subunit ribosomal RNA", at positions 524 to 777 of the family's 1533-position model. The record is from RNAcentral.
UACGUAGGUGGCAAGCGUUAUCCGGAAUUAUUGGGCGUAAAGAGCGCGCAGGUGGUUGAUUAAGUCUGAUGUGAAAGCCCACGGCUUAACCGGGGAGGGUCAUUGGAAACUGGGAGACUUGAGUGCAGAAGAGGAGAGUGGAAUUCCAUGUGUAGCGGUGAAAUGCGCAGAGAUAUGGAGGAACACCAGUGGCGAAAGGCGGCUCUCUGGUCUGUAACUGACGCUGAUGUGCGAAAGCGUGGGGAUCAAACAGGA